AGAAAAACCUCUCUAAAAACUUGAUCAUUCAAGAGGAAGAAGAAGAGAAAGGUCUGUUGGAGCUGAAGGCCAAGAUAGAAGUCGCCGUCUGAUUCGCUGGUGAAGGAGAAUCGGAUCACUCAAUCAAUUAGCUGCGUAGAAUCUCUAUGUCUUCAGGUCAAUCAAGUUGUAGGAAUGGUUCAAGAGGAGGGUGGCGGAGGCAUGGAGAACCGGAUCAUCAUAAUGGUUUUCUUUCUAUGGAAUCCGAGAAUGAUAAGCUGUACUCACACACAUCCUCAACAAACCCUCUAGAGUCUGAAUCGCCUUUUCUACCUACCCAUUAGUCUGAGGAUGAUAAGAUGUACUCAUGUGCACCUUAGUGCCCAACUCUGUCUAAAAUGCCGAAGUGAACUUCGAAUCUCUAUCUAA
Molecule: long non-coding RNA, 408 nt
Organism: Camelina sativa (false flax)
Lineage: Eukaryota; Viridiplantae; Streptophyta; Magnoliopsida; Brassicales; Brassicaceae
Source: RefSeq, a predicted model, not a curated record